Non-coding RNA from Pan troglodytes (chimpanzee), 148 nucleotides. It matches the Rfam family "Metazoan signal recognition particle RNA". Rfam says of the family: The signal recognition particle (SRP) is a universally conserved ribonucleoprotein. It is involved in the co-translational targeting of proteins to membranes. NCBI's taxonomy places the organism in Eukaryota, Metazoa, Chordata, Mammalia, Primates, Hominidae. The record is from Rfam.
GCCGGGUGUGGUGGUGGGCACCUGUAGUCCCAGCUACCUGGGAGGCUGAGGCAGGAGAAUCGCUUGAACCCGGGAGGCGGAGGUUGCAGUGAGCUGAGGUCGCACCACUGCACUCCAGCCUGGGUGACAAAGCGAGACACUGUCUCAC